Molecule: long non-coding RNA, 5184 nt
Organism: Corvus hawaiiensis (hawaiian crow)
Lineage: Eukaryota; Metazoa; Chordata; Aves; Passeriformes; Corvidae
Exons: 2
Source: RefSeq, a predicted model, not a curated record
GACUCGGGUCCCGGCCACCCUGAGGUUUCGGUGGUGCCUUUUCUCCGAGUGCCUUUUCAAUCCCCAGUCACUGAUUUAUAAGUAUUGCUGUGCCUUUUUGUAUUUACUGUGCAUCCCCCAAAUUCGGUACCAUCUUCUUCGCCGGGAAAGAGACAACCACUUGUAGUUACAGGUUUUCCAAACAGGCCCAUAUCCUCUUCAGAGCCCUUCAUAACCUCUGUUUCUUAGUUUCUUCAAAUACUCCGAAGGGAGAGGGGAGGGCGUUUUCAGAAGAGGCAUCUGACCACAGAACCAUCCUCAGCUCCGCUGGUGUCUGAUGAAACCACCCUUGGCCUUACCUCACCUUAACCAGCCCAGUCCAGCCUCGCCCCCUGCUUCCAGCGUCCUGCCGCGAUCUCCGAGAGAAAAGUGCUGUGGACGAGGAGAAAAUCCACUGUCACUACUAGUCAAGAUUGUCAUUUGCCGCGUGCUUUUUAGCCCUUUAAUGGGAGCUCUUAGCGUAGCUGCUGCCAAGCUCUGAUCCUCCCCAGCUGAGGAGCUGUUCAUAGUCUCACCACAGAAUCCAGCAUCAGGAAUCCUCAGGUAUCCAAGACACAGGGCUGGCAGAUAUGGCAUGGGACAUAAGUUACUACAUCACAUCUAAAAUGCCACCAGACGUCUGUGUUCAGGAAAAUGGAACCAGCGGAAACUGAAAGAGGCAGACCCUCCUGGGGAAGCAGUGGAGAGAUGCGAAGCGAGCCUGUGCUGACUGGGUGGAGAGGUUACACACGCGCCAGGCACGCACAGGUUGUGUGAAACCAGAAGCUGCAGAGACUGUCUGAGGAUUCUUGAUGUGCUGCUGAAGUGGGGUGCUGGUGAUGAAGAUUUAAAACUGCUGACAUCUGAUAAAAGAGCUAGUUCAGAUUCUAUGAUUGUGAAAUGUAGAAAUACCUAAAUCUGAUACCAUGGUAACUUGGAAGAAGAAUUCUUACAACUGAUUAUCCAGAUGUCUACAAAUAUGAAAAACAAGCUGCUUCAGAUACUAUCCUGAUUUCUUUACUUGCCAAAACUCUAUUUAUAUCUUCAGCUCAUCUUUAUUUGACUGCAUAAUUUUCCAAUAUUUACCACAUAUCUUCGCAGAUUCUCUAAAGAUUUUUUUCCCCAAAAUACAAUUAUUUGAGCCCUCAUCUAUACUGCAUUGAGACACAGAGGCACCAAACACCAGAGAGUACUAGAAGCACCACAGGGAAUUCUGAAAUUACCAUCUGUAGUUUUAAUCCAUGAAUUUAGAGCUUGUAAGAGAGUGUCAGAACUAGCUGGGAUAAUUAUAAGAUAAUCCACAUUUCCUUUAACAAGACAAAAAUACCACCCACACUAUAACUAACAACAGCCCAGCCAGCUCUUAAGAAAUUGGUGUUGAGUGUAGCUGUUCUCACAAAUUGACACUUAAUGUUGAAAUGGUUUAUUACAGCAGAGUGUUUGAGAAGUUUACACAGAACUGGGCACAUUUCACACACCUGCUGCCAGUACCCUGGAUCCUUCCAGUGCCUGGGUCAGGCUCGAUCCAGAGCAGAUCUGAUGGUGCCAACACUCGUGCGUCUUGUGGAUGACCAAGGACUGUGCAGUUGUACUCCCAGUGCUAGAUCUCACCUGGAUGCCAGUUACUUAGUCAGGACACACUGUUACACAAUCCUGGAGAAGCAGCAGGAAUUUCUUCAGAGACAGAAUUUCAUCAAUUAUACCUCAUACUCUUCUGUCAGCAGCAAAACCCAGGCCAUUCGUUACAUUGCUUGGAAGAUGGUUCUGCAUUUUUAAACUUGCCUUUUGGUGCGGUUUCUAGGUCGUAUCCAUUAUUUUACUUGACAGUUAAGAGUGUCCAGAAUGUGGGUUUUAGUGCUUAUCCUGUCAUAUCUUCAAAAGACUGGACACUAUACUUAUGCCUGCCCUCUGCCACAGAGAACUUUCUAUCACAUUUCCACUGUUUUAAGCAACAUAACUGUUCCACUUCUAAAAAAGAAAUUGUGCAAACAGACUUUGUGAACAAGUGAGCCACAAGAGCCCAACCAUUGAAAACUUUAGAAAAGAUUCUCCUGGCUACUUUACUGUUAUGGAAUGGCCAUCUGAAAGAAAACAAAAAAACCUCAUGAAAACUGAAAGGAAGAGAAAAGAAUAAGAAAAAUUUGGGUGCUGUAUGAAAACUUGGUACCUCCCCAUUGUGCUUAUAAGAGGAACAGGUCACUACACCACAAGAACAGCACAACAGAACUAGGGAAGGUAAAGAGAAGGGCAGAUGUGGUGAUCAAGAGAGUGCAACAGUGACAUACUAAGAGAGACUAAAGUGGCUGGGGCUCUUCCACCUGCAGGAGAGGAGGCUGAGAAAAUAUGAUCAAGGCUUAUGAAAUCAUAAAGGCAGUGGCUAAGGUGAGUAUGAAGCUGUUAUUUGUCAGCCUGGAACAAAGGUACACACACAGAGGCUGAUCAGGCAUUACAAACAGCCCAAAGACAGGGCCUUUUUUCACAGCAGGUAAUUAAUGUUUGGAACUCCCUACCACAGGCUGUAGCAAAGGCAACUGUCAGCAGGUUCAAAAAGAAACUAGUCAAACUGGGUAACAGGUCUAUACAUGGAUUAAAAAAGAGAAUAGGCAUGGGAUAACCAUCUAACAUCUCCAGUUGAUGCCUGGUCAUAAUUAUGGAUGCUUGGAAGUGUGAGGUGACAGACUGUUGGCUUGCAUGGUGGUCCCUAAAUAAAGCAUCCUCUACUGCCAUGGACAAGGAGAAAGGGGUGGGAUAGGUAGACCUCUGUUCUGGUCCAGCUGGACACUCCAGACAUUCAGGAUUCCUUGGAUAUGAUGGUUUCCAGAAUAUAGACAGAAUUCAGAUUUCAAAUGGGUUCCAAUACCUUGAAAAUACAUCAAAGGGACCUGUAAUCCACAAGGGCAAAAUUAAUCUCUAGGAGCAAGGUAAAAGGUAAAAAGAUAAGAUGAAAAAAUAAUUAAUGCCUUAAAUAAUUAUAUGCUUCUCCAUUGGAGUUGUUAAAUCUAAAAUGGUUAAAAAAAAAAAGACAUAAUUUAUUGUUCUGUUGACAAUCCUCCAUCCUUAUUUCUGGCCAACAAUUUUAAGUUUUUAUGUAGGUUUUCUUGUCUCUUCAGUGUCUUAGAUCUCUAAUGACAAGCAUUUUAAAGCAAUCAAUUAUGUAUGAUGAUUGUCAUCUGACAUUUGUUCUGUCUGGUAAGUAUCCAUUAUAGAAUUAUAAACUCAUUGUCUUCCUCCUGCAUUUUGUGUGUCAUGAAUGGUAUUAAAGUGAUUCUGUCCUAUACAGAUGCCUUUCCCCUUGAACGCAGUGUUUCCUAACUUUAUAAAAAUCUAAAUGCAUUAAGUCCCCCUUUGAUUCUGGACACUGGUCUAGAGACAGAGAGGGUGUCAAAUUUACAAAGUAUUACAACAAUAAUACUGUGAAUUUUAUGCUGCUUUCUAUUCAUGCUUCGUUAGCUUCUAUCAGCCUGAACCAGAGACAGGUCCCAUGGUACUAGAAACUCUGAAUAUCACAGUGAAAAAGACCAUUUCUCUCUGAAAAAAAACCUGAGCAGCUGUGACAGUCAGGGACUAUCACCCCCAGAAUGCCCUAAAGGGCCUGGAGGGACUAUGGAGUGUUCUUCAAAAUAACUGGCUUGGAGGGAGGGAAGCUCUCUGGAAGCAUGGCAGGAGGCAAAGCAGCACAAGCACAAGGACACUAAACUGCUUCUACUGCCCAGCAACUGGAAGAAAGAUCCAGGUAAUGACACCAGACCACUUUCAAGGCAAUUAGGUCUUGGCUUCUUUCAGAUGAGGCCACUGAGACACAGGAAUCAGUAAGAAACAAGUGUUCCUUAAUUCUAGAGUCUCCAAGACAAGAGGCUACAAAAUUUAGAGUGUUCUUAGCUCCACAUGGCUAUGACCCUUUUGAUGGACCUAAGGAGCACCCUGAAGCAGAGCUUCCUCUAACUACUGGAGAAGUGGCUUAGAGAUUUUGAGACUUGGAUGAGGAUGGUUGAUUUGAGGGAGAGCUGACAGAUGGCACAUCCCUCUAAUGUGAUAGAAGUUUCAAAGGAUGACAUGGUAACAACCUAGCCUCCAUAGCCAAGUGAGCUCUUGCAGAAUGCAGAUCAUGAAGUGAGAUUUUGCAGCAGAAGCAUGAGCAAUGGAGGAAAAAGGGAUGGUCUUGACAGAGGAAUCUGUGUCACUGUGUUGGCUGAUAGACCAGGAGAUACAGAGAUUCCUUUUAAUCAUGUGUCAGUACCUUAUCCAAGAAAUCUCAUUCUAGUCAAACAAUUUGCAAGAAGUAUAGUUGUUGGCAGGGAGCCUCCACUUGUGCUGGCUGUGUACAUACCAAAUGUGGUUUCUAUAGCCAGAGAGUCAGCUCAGAGACUCAAGCAGUGAUUGAAGACUUGGAUUUUAAAUAGUCAGACCUACCAAAUUCUACUUCAAAGUCUAGUAUAAAAAGGAAAUUCAUGUUAGAGGCAACACACCAUCCUAGUAGGGAGAGACUUCCAAAGAGCUCCAAAAUGUUUAACACUUAGGAGCAUCACCCUGUUUGAACAGAGGUCACUUGGAUGCCAAGCAGCAAUUAUUUACGUGCUGUGUACCCUAAGGAAAGGUACAUGCAGAGGUCUACUGGUCUGUGUUCUAAAGCUUGCAACCCAACCCUCAGCAAUGAGCAAAAGUGGAAGUGUGACCUCAAGAUGUGAAAUGACACAUUAACCAAGAGCAGCAGGAGUGAAACCCAGCACCAGUGGGAUUUGUUACUCCAUCAGUUACAUCAUCAGUGAACGUUUUGUAUAUCAGCUGAUAACAAGGACAGUUAAUGCCAGAAGAUCUUCCAAAGGACUGGGGUAAAGGGUGGCUCACAGCUAAAUUAUAUGUGGAGUAUUUUAAAAUAAGUGAACAUUCAAAUAUUUGAAUUAAAUAACAUUAUUUAAUAUGAUUAUUUGUUUAGACCAGUGGAAGGUUUACUGGUUUUUAAAGCAUUGUUGGUUUUUGUAUCUAUCUCAUUGUUUGUUUUGAGAUACAAAUGUGUUUAGUGUUUGGUUCUUGUAAACAUGGAUGUUGGAGAUGGCUUUCUUGUGAUACAGGCUUACUUAAAGCAACAUACUUCUUGUAUUUUUUCAUAAUUUACUUUUAAACCCACUAUUUAGUGAAGUAUAAACUAAUAAAACCUUACUAGAGUUA